Molecule: non-coding RNA, 497 nt
Organism: Eublepharis macularius
Lineage: Eukaryota; Metazoa; Chordata; Lepidosauria; Squamata; Eublepharidae
Source: the annotation of a RefSeq genome assembly
UGAACCUCGUAACUUCUUAGUCAUUUUAUCUCAAAGAAUCAUACAAAAAAAUGAUGUCAUGGUUUCAAUUGGUUUUCAUCUUAGCAAUAUUCAGAGGUAUCCAAACAGAAGUCCAGCUGGUAGAGUCUGGAGGGGAGGUCAAAAGGCCUGGAGAGUCCCUCCGCCUGUCCUGUCGAGCCUCUGGGUAUAACUUUGGUGGCUAUAGCAUGAACUGGGUGAGGCAGGCUCCUGGAAAAGGUCUGGAAUGGGUGGCCUAUAUAAACUCUGGUGGAAGCACACAAUCCUAUGCCAACUCGGUGAGAGGACGCUUCACCAUCUCCAGAAACAACCCUUCCAGCAUGCUGUAUCUGCAAAUGAACAGCCUGAAAGAUGAAGACACCGCAGUUUAUUACUGUGCAAGAGACAAAGUGAGAGGAAGUGAAUCUGAAGGCAGGCAAAAACCCUCCUCUCCCUCUGGCUGUUCUCCAGCAUUCCUUGAUCUGCAACAGAUGAAGUGA